GACGAACGCUGGCGGCGUGCUUAACACAUGCAAGUCGAACGCUGAAGCCCAGCUUGCUGGGUGGAUGAGUGGCGAACGGGUGAGUAACACGUGAGUAACCUGCCCCCUUCUUUGGGAUAACGCCCGGAAACGGGUGCUAAUACUGGAUAUUCACUGGCCUUCGCAUGGGGGUUGGUGGAAAGGUUUUUUCUGGUGGGGGAUGGGCUCGCGGCCUAUCAGCUUGUUGGUGGGGUGAUGGCCUACCAAGGCUUUGACGGGUAGCCGGCCUGAGAGGGUGACCGGUCACAUUGGGACUGAGAUACGGCCCAGACUCCUACGGGAGGCAGCAGUGGGGAAUAUUGCACAAUGGGCGAAAGCCUGAUGCAGCGACGCCGCAUGAGGGAUGACGGCCUUCGGGUUGUAAACCUCUUUCGCUCAUGGUCAAGCCGCAGCUUUGGGUUGUGGUGAGGGUAGUGGGUAAAGAAGCGCCGGCUAACUACGUGCCAGCAGCCGCGGUAAUACGUAGGGCGCGAGCGUUGUCCGGAAUUAUUGGGCGUAAAGGGCUUGUAGGCGGUUUGUCGCGUCUGCCGUGAAAUCCUCUGGCUUAACUGGGGGCGUGCGGUGGGUACGGGCAGGCUUUAGUGGAUAGGGGAGACUGGAACUCCUGGUGUACGGUGGAAUGCGCAAUAUCAAGAAGAACACCGGUGGCGAAGGCGGGUCUCUGGGGCGUUACUGACGCUGAGGGCGGAAGCGUGGGGAGCGAACAGG
Molecule: ribosomal RNA, 747 nt
Filed under: uncultured Actinomyces sp.
Lineage: Bacteria; Bacillati; Actinomycetota; Actinomycetes; Actinomycetales; Actinomycetaceae
Description: bacterial SSU rRNA
Rfam family: Bacterial small subunit ribosomal RNA
Source: RNAcentral